This 476-nucleotide long non-coding RNA is filed under the name Daphnia pulicaria. Its description in RNAcentral is "uncharacterized LOC124325971, transcript variant X2". Lineage: Eukaryota; Metazoa; Arthropoda; Branchiopoda; Diplostraca; Daphniidae. The record is from RNAcentral.
UGAAUGUUUAGAUUAUUUUGAUCUUUGUCUCCUUGACGGCCUACGGUUCGACGUCCUCUGCCCAGCAACCAACCACCUGGACCAGCCCUCACUUUUACUACCAUUACAACACCCUACUAACCCUGCCUACCCAGAAGGUAUCAGCCGAUGAAAAAGCAGGAAAUAAGCAGCAGCUUUUCACUAAUUACAACGAUCACAGUAUGCAAAACACCUUAGGAUCUCAUGUCGUACUGCUAACAACAUGCCUGAGGGAUCUGAAAACUACGAAAGCCGAUUUGGUGCACACACAUUCCGAGGUCGAAAAUGUUAAAAAGGAACUGAAUAAGCUGAAAGAUACUUAAUUUAACUCGACGUCAAAUCCACUUUUGGCCAAUGUUAUAGCCACGGUGGAAAGUAUGAAAAAAGAGAUGACUGGUAUGGCCGACAAAACAGCGUUGGCACAGACUACGCAACGCUUGGAUGAAACUCACACAUCA